Molecule: ribosomal RNA, 49 nt
Filed under: Vigna unguiculata (cowpea)
Lineage: Eukaryota; Viridiplantae; Streptophyta; Magnoliopsida; Fabales; Fabaceae
Description: partial small subunit ribosomal RNA
Source: RNAcentral
UAAAGUCGUGACAAGGUUUUCCGUAGGUGAACCUGCGGAAGGAUCAUUG